UUUCCCACGAAUUUUCAGAAAAGGGCUAUUACACAUUUAAAUUAUUCUUUUGGAAUCUGCUUUUCUCUUUUCCGAAAGAUGGCUUAUCAUAAAGCUAUUUUCUUUACUUCAAAACUACAUUUCUCCUUUUGUGGUACACGGGUUAUUCUAGAUCCAUUUUCUGUAGAAAAUAUAAAGGCACAUAAGCAACAAUUACAAAAUGUUUCUAGGAAAAACAAUUAGACUUCAAAAAGUCCCCAGAAAAGCUAAAGCUGAAAACGAAAAAGAAUUAAAAAAAAGACGGAG
Molecule: unclassified non-coding RNA, 285 nt
Filed under: Hevea brasiliensis (rubber tree)
Lineage: Eukaryota; Viridiplantae; Streptophyta; Magnoliopsida; Malpighiales; Euphorbiaceae
Source: RNAcentral